CGGAGGGUGCAAGCGUUAUCCGGAUUCACUGGGUUUAAAGGGUGCGUAGGUUGAUAGGUAAGUCAGUGGUGAAAUACUCCGACUCAAUCGGAGAACUGCCGUUGAUACUAUCUAUCUUGAAUACGGUGGAGGCGGGCAGAAUGCGUCAUGUAGUGGUGAAAUACUUAGAUAUGACGCAGAAUACCCAUUGCGAAGGCAGCUCGCUACGCCGGCAUUGACACUGAGGCACGAAAGCGUGGGGAUCAAACAGGAUUAGAUACCCGGGUAGUCCACGCCCUAAACGAUGUUCACUCGAUCUCAGCGAUAUACUGUUGGGGUCUAUGCAAAAGCAUUAAGUGAACCACCUGGGGAGUACGAUCGCAAGAUUG
RNAcentral lists this ribosomal RNA (368 nucleotides) under uncultured organism. RNAcentral describes it as "bacterial SSU rRNA". It matches the Rfam family "Bacterial small subunit ribosomal RNA", at positions 526 to 896 of the family's 1533-position model. The record is from RNAcentral.